UCUGUAGCAAGGUUAACCGUAUAGGGGAGCCGGAGGGAAACCGAGUCUUAAUUGGGCGUUAAGUUGCAGGGUAUAGACCCGAAACCCGGUGAUCUAGCCAUGGGCAGGUUGAAGGUUGGGUAACACUAACUGGAGGACCGAACCGACUAAUGUUGAAAAAUUAGCGGAUGACCUGUGGCUGGGGGUGAAAGGCCAAUCAAACCGGGAGAUAGCUGGUUCUCCCCGAAAGCUAUUUAGGUAGCGCCUCGUGAAUUCAUCUCCGGGGGUAGAGCACUGUUUCGGCUAGGGGGCCAUCCCGGCUUACCAACCCGAUGCAAACUGCGAAUACCGGAGAAUGUUAUCACGGGAGACACACGGCGGGUGCUAACGUCCGUCGUGAAGAGGGAAACAACCCAGACCGCCAGCUAAGGUCCCAAAGUCAUGGUUAAGUGGGAAACGAUGUGGGAAGGCCCAGACAGCCAGGAUGUUGGCUUAGAAGCAGCCAUCAUUUAAAGAAAGCGUAAUAGCUCACUGGUCGAGUCGGCCUGCGCGGAAGAUGUAACGGGGCUAAACCAUGCACCGAAGCUGCGGCAGCGAACGUAUCACCCAAGACAACUUUACGGAGUUGACGAUUGACGGAGCGAAGCGACGUCAAAGCGUUCAUUAAAGUCGAGUUGGCUUAGGGAUACGUUCGUUGGGUAGGGGAGCGUUCUGUAAGCCUGUGAAGGUGUGUCGUGAGGCAUGCUGGAGGUAUCAGAAGUGCGAAUGCUGACAUAAGUAACGAUAAAGCGGGUGAAAAGCCCGCUCGCCGGAAGACCAAGGGUUCCUGUCCAACGUUAAUCGGGGCAGGGUGAGUCGACCCCUAAGGCGAGGCCGAAAGGCGUAGUCGAUGGGAAACGGGUUAAUAUUCCCGUACUUGGUGUUACUGCGAAGGGGGGACGGAGAAGGCUAUGUUGGCCGGGCGACGGUUGUCCCGGUUUAAGCGUGUAGGUGUGUGUUCCAGGUAAAUCCGGUUCACUUUAACACUGAGGCGUGACGACGAGGCACUACGGUGCUGAAGCAACAAAUGCCCUGCUUCCAGGAAAAGCCUCUAAGCAUCAGGUAACAUCAAAUCGUACCCCAAACCGACACAGGUGGUCAGGUAGAGAAUACCAAGGCGCUUGAGAGAACUCGUGUGAAGGAACUAGGCAAAAUGGUGCCGUAACUUCGGGAGAAGGCACGCUGACACGUAGGUGAAGUGAUUUACUCAUGGAGCUGAAGUCAGUCGAAGAUACCAGCUGGCUGCAACUGUUUAUUAAAAACACAGCACUGUGCAAACACGAAAGUGGACGUAUACGGUGUGACGCCUGCCCGGUGCCGGAAGGUUAAUUGAUGGGGUCAGCGCAAGCGAAGCUCCUGAUCGAAGCCCCGGUAAACGGCGGCCGUAACUAUAACGGUCCUAAGGUAGCGAAAUUCCUUGUCGGGUAAGUUCCGACCUGCACGAAUGGCGUAAUGAUGGCCAGGCUGUCUCCACCCGAGACUCAGUGAAAUUGAACUCGCUGUGAAGAUGCAGUGUACCCGCGGCAAGACGGAAAGACCCCGUGAACCUUUACUAUAGCUUGACACUGAACAUUGAGCCUUGAUGUGUAGGAUAGGUGGGAGGCUUUGAAGUGUGGACGCCAGUCUGCAUGGAGCCGACCUUGAAAUACCACCCUUUAAUGUUUGAUGUUCUAACGUGGACCCGUAAUCCGGGUUGCGGACAGUGUCUGGUGGGUAGUUUGACUGGGGCGGUCUCCUCCUAAAGAGUAACGGAGGAGCACGAAGGUUGGCUAAUCCUGGUCGGACAUCAGGAGGUUAGUGCAAUGGCAUAAGCCAGCUUGACUGCGAGCGUGACGGCGCGAGCAGGUGCGAAAGCAGGUCAUAGUGAUCCGGUGGUUCUGAAUGGAAGGGCCAUCGCUCAACGGAUAAAAGGUACUCCGGGGAUAACAGGCUGAUACCGCCCAAGAGUUCAUAUCGACGGCGGUGUUUGGCACCUCGAUGUCGGCUCAUCACAUCCUGGGGCUGAAGUAGGUCCCAAGGGUAUGGCUGUUCGCCAUUUAAAGUGGUACGCGAGCUGGGUUUAGAACGUCGUGAGACAGUUCGGUCCCUAUCUGCCGUGGGCGCUGGAGAACUGAGGGGGGCUGCUCCUAGUACGAGAGGACCGGAGUGGACGCAUCACUGGUGUUCGGGUUGUCAUGCCAAUGGCACUGCCCGGUAGCUAAAUGCGGAAGAGAUAAGUGCUGAAAGCAUCUAAGCACGAAACUUGCCCCGA
Molecule: ribosomal RNA, 2269 nt
Filed under: Salmonella enterica
Lineage: Bacteria; Pseudomonadati; Pseudomonadota; Gammaproteobacteria; Enterobacterales; Enterobacteriaceae
Description: partial 23S ribosomal RNA
Rfam family: Bacterial large subunit ribosomal RNA
Source: RNAcentral